Long non-coding RNA from Mus pahari (shrew mouse), 229 nucleotides. RefSeq lists it as uncharacterized. NCBI's taxonomy places the organism in Eukaryota, Metazoa, Chordata, Mammalia, Rodentia, Muridae. The transcript is spliced from 3 exons. The record is from RefSeq and is a predicted model, not a curated record.
UUUCUACCUUAGAAAACAACACUUUCUCAUGGCAUAACACUUCAACUCGAGAAACAUUUGCAUGUAUUACCAAGUCUCCAGAGAGCAGAAUGGUUACAGAAGGGUUAAAGGAGCCACAGUCGAGUCCAAGUUCCAGGCGUCCUCUCUGGCAGAACAGAAGACUGAUACAGAUGCUGAAUUACUGCAGUGCUGAGAAAGGAGAGAAAGAACGAUAAAGAACAAAUAAUGU